GAAUAUUAGUGACAAUGGGCGCAAGCCUGACCCAGCAAUACCGCGUGUGUGAAGAAGGCCUGAGGGUUGUAAAGCACUUUCAAUUGGGAGGAAAACCUGCCGGUCAAUACCCGGCAGCUUGACAUUACCUUUAGAAGAAGCACCGGCUAACUCCGUGCCAGCAGCCGCGGUAAUACGGAGGGUGCGAGCGUUAAUCGGAAUUACUGGGCGUAAAGCGUGCGUAGGCGGUUAUUUAAGUCAGAUGCGAAAGCCCCGGGCUUAACCUGGGAACUGCAUUUGAUACUGGGUAACUAGAGUUUAGUAGAGGAGAGUGGAAUUUCAGGUGUAGCGRUGAAAUGCGUAGAGAUCUGAAGGAACACCAGU
This 363-nucleotide ribosomal RNA is filed under the name uncultured Methylobacter sp. Its description in RNAcentral is "bacterial SSU rRNA". It matches the Rfam family "Bacterial small subunit ribosomal RNA", at positions 359 to 713 of the family's 1533-position model. Lineage: Bacteria; Pseudomonadati; Pseudomonadota; Gammaproteobacteria; Methylococcales; Methylococcaceae. The record is from RNAcentral.